GCGAACAGGGGCUGCUAACAGGGAGUUUCGAGAGGAAGUUGAGUGGGAAGGGGGCAAGGACGAAAUGCAGAGACAAAAUUUCUUGAUACUUUAAAUGACCGCUUCUUGGAGCAGCUGCACAGGAACCCACAAGAUGAGCGGCAAUUCACAAUUUAGUCCUGAGUGGAGCGCAGGUUCUGGUCCAAGAGGCAACCCUAUGUGAUAUCAGUCUGGUGAGGAUAACAGAGGUGGAAAGGAAGGAGAUGCUGCAAGCGGCUGGAUAUAGACCUGAUCCUUAUGCUGCAAUGCUGUGUACUGCAAUGAUGCCAGCAGAAUUAAUUCAGGAGUUGUGUGGGAAAGUGUCCUAUCAUGGUGGAAGAAAUAAGACUGCCCUGCCCAGAAAUCUUGUGCAAAGGAUUUCAGAGCAUACCUCCAAGAAAGUUUCCUAGAGAUAUCCAUGGAGGAUCCCUGGGCUAUCCCAGUCCAAAUAAACAGUCUUUUCCGGGGGCCACCCUCUGCGUAGCUGGAGGGGCCUCUUGUAAGCAAAGAACCACAUCACCUUGCUUUUUCUUCAGAGUAAACAUGCAAUACCACUGAAUGUGUGUGCCCGCUAGAGUUUAACUGGACUUUGAUUGUAACUGUAU
Long non-coding RNA from Mauremys reevesii (Reeves's turtle), 623 nucleotides. RefSeq lists it as uncharacterized. The record is from RefSeq and is a predicted model, not a curated record. The transcript has 3 exons. Lineage: Eukaryota; Metazoa; Chordata; Testudines; Geoemydidae.